UGUGUGGCUUCCUGUACAUAUGCCCCAUGCCCCGUGUGGCCGGGGUCACUCUGUGCCGGCACUGUGGCUUUUGUCAGCAUCUGGACAACUGGGCC
Canis lupus familiaris (dog) is the source of this 95-nucleotide non-coding RNA. Lineage: Eukaryota; Metazoa; Chordata; Mammalia; Carnivora; Canidae. The record is from Rfam.